CUUCUUGUUAUUCUUUUAAGCAUAUAAAGAGUUUCAGGAAUGCAUUUAAUAAUUAAAAGAUAGCAUUGAAAAGUUGAUUUGAAGAAUUACAUUUUAUAUGAAAGAAUUGUCAAAUUCUGAUUUUGAACAAAAAAGAUGAGCUAUUGAAGUCUAUGCUUCAAAUCUAAAUUUUGUAAGUGAAUUCUUUUCAUAGAAGUUUUAAGUUGGGCUAUAUUUUGAAUUU
RNAcentral lists this long non-coding RNA (223 nucleotides) under Physcomitrium patens. Its description in RNAcentral is "long non-coding RNA (PPAT_LNC009613)". Lineage: Eukaryota; Viridiplantae; Streptophyta; Bryopsida; Funariales; Funariaceae. The record is from RNAcentral.